CCUGCUACUAUUCGAGUUUUCCUCUGAAACAAAAAUGGAGCGGAAGGGCUGCCAAUAACCACUUCCUGCUACUUGGCGCUAUUAAUUAUACAUCUUUCAAGAAACCAACAUUCUCUAAAUUCAAAAAUAUUUCAUUUCUCUCAAGCCUCUUCAAGUAUUAUGCCAUUUAAUUGUCAAUAUCCUGUAAAAAAAAAGUCAUCACAAUUAAAAGUAGAAAUAGAUACAACAGAUCUCAACAUGUAUAAUCUUCUCUCUUUCAAGAGGGACAAAAGUAUAUAGUCCUUGUGGCUCAACCUUGUCCUUAAGGUGGCAUCACACAUGUACAGAUGAACCAUCAAUUAAGCCACUUUGAAUUUUGUAGAAGAAAAAAAUAAACUUAAAAAUUACUCAAUCUAAAGAAAUAAAAAUAGAUGAAUCAGAUAGAUUCUGAAAGUAAUGAAUAAUGCAUAGAAAAGCAGGCAGUAAUCUUUCUGUCAUGUGACAGCUUAUAAGUUAAGCGUAUUGAAAUUUUGAUUUGUAACAAUAUUUUGAACUAAUUACCAAUACCAUAACAUCAUAAAACAGUUGUAGCAACAUCCAAAAAUAACAGCAAAAGUGAUUUCAACCGCAGUCGAAAAUACCAGAACAAAGUAAGAAGUAAAUUUUGUUAAUUCAGAUUCAGAAAACCAGCUACUACUGUUAAAUGAAAACAUCUUAUGAUUAGACAUGAAGAUUUAACUUAUAAAUCAGACUACGGUAUAAAAGAUACAAACUCUUAAUUUUACACAACUUCAUGGAAUAGAUUGUUAUACCAAAUUUUUAUAAAAAAUAUAUACCUCGGCAUUAGCCGAUGAACCCACCCACCACCAAAGUCUCCCAUAUGAAUCACUUUACCUUAAGUAUCCAUCAUGUUGGAUACUUAUUCAACCUCCAAACUCUCUCAAUUAACAGUAUGAUGCCACUUACAUGCUUUAUGACAUAUUCUUACCCAAGUAACAUCUACUCCUUCCACAACCAAAUCCUUCACCUGCUCAAGCCCAC
RNAcentral lists this long non-coding RNA (1020 nucleotides) under Solanum tuberosum (potato). RNAcentral's name for it is "long non-coding RNA (STUB_LNC001328)". Lineage: Eukaryota; Viridiplantae; Streptophyta; Magnoliopsida; Solanales; Solanaceae. The record is from RNAcentral.